This 446-nucleotide ribosomal RNA is filed under the name uncultured bacterium. RNAcentral's name for it is "partial 16S ribosomal RNA". It matches the Rfam family "Bacterial small subunit ribosomal RNA", at positions 331 to 793 of the family's 1533-position model. The record is from RNAcentral.
CCAGACUCCUACGGGAGGCAGCAGUGGGGGAUAUUGCACAAUGGGGGGAACCCUGAUGCAGCGACGCCGCGUGGGUGAAGGAGCGUUUCGGCGCGUAAAGCCCUAUCGGCAGGGAAGAAGGAGGACGGUACCUGACUAAGAAGCCCCGGCUAACUACGUGCCAGCAGCCGCGGUAAUACGUAGGGGGCGAGCGUUAUCCGGAUUCACUGGGUGUAAAGGGAGCGUAGACGGCCAAGCAAGCCAGGGGUGAAAGCCCGGGGCCCAACCCCGGGACUGCCCUUGGAACUGCUUGGCUGGAGUGCGGGAGGGGCAGGCGGAAUUCCUGGUGUAGCGGUGAAAUGCGUAGAUAUCAGGAGGAACACCGGCGGCGAAGGCGGUUUACUGGACCACAACUGACGCUGAGACACGAAAGCGUGGGGAGCAAACAGGAUUAGAUACCCCGGUAU